GCGAGCAUAGCCAAGUGGAUAAGGCGGCGGAUUGCAAACCCGCAUACGUCGGUUCGAUUCCGACUGUUCGCU
Molecule: transfer RNA, 72 nt
Filed under: Pyrinomonadaceae bacterium
Lineage: Bacteria; Pseudomonadati; Acidobacteriota; Blastocatellia; Blastocatellales; Pyrinomonadaceae
Description: tRNA-Cys
Rfam family: tRNA
About the family: Transfer RNA (tRNA) molecules are approximately 80 nucleotides in length. Their secondary structure includes four short double-helical elements and three loops (D, anti-codon, and T loops).
Source: RNAcentral